RNAcentral lists this ribosomal RNA (303 nucleotides) under uncultured bacterium. RNAcentral describes it as "partial 16S ribosomal RNA". It matches the Rfam family "Bacterial small subunit ribosomal RNA", at positions 507 to 808 of the family's 1533-position model. The record is from RNAcentral.
AGCAGCCGCCGCGGAAUACGUAGGGUGCGAGCGUUAAUCGGAAUUACUGGGCGUAAAGCGUGCGCAGGCGGUUGUGUAAGACAGGUGUGAAAUCCCCGGGCUUAACCUGGGAACUGCGCUUGUGACUGCACAGCUAGAGUAUGGCAGAGGGGGGUGGAAUUCCACGUGUAGCAGUGAAAUGCGUAGAGAUGUGGAGGAACACCGAUGGCGAAGGCAGCCCCCUGGCCUAACACUGACGCUGAGGCGCGAAAGCGUGGGGAGCAAACAGGAUUAGAUACCCGUGUAGUCCCUGUCUCUUAUACA